GAUGAACGCUGGCGGUGUGCCUAAUACAUGCAAGUCGAGCGAACAGACGAGGAGCUUACUCCUCUGACGUUAGCGGCGGACGGGUGAGUAACACGUGGAUAACCUACCUAUAAGACUGGGAUAACUUCGGGAAACCGGAGCUAAUACCGGAUAACAUGUUGAACGGCAUGGUUCAACAGUGAAAGAGGGUCUUGCUGUCACUUAUAGAUGGCUCCGCGUCGCAUUAGCUAGUUGGUAAGGUAACGGCUUACCAAGGCAAGGAUGCGUAGCCGACCUGAGAGGGUGAUCGGCCACACUGGAACUGAGACACGGUCCAGACUCCUACGGGAGGCAGCAGUAGGGAAUCUUCCGCAAUGGGCGAAAGCCUGACGGAGCAACGCCGCGUGAGUGAAGAAGGUCUUCGGAUCGUAAAACUCUGUUAUUAGGGAAGAACAAAUGUGUAAGUAACUAUGCACGUCUUGACGGUACCUAAUCAGAAAGCCACGGCUAACUACGUG
This 497-nucleotide ribosomal RNA is filed under the name uncultured bacterium. Its description in RNAcentral is "partial 16S ribosomal RNA". It matches the Rfam family "Bacterial small subunit ribosomal RNA", at positions 28 to 507 of the family's 1533-position model. The record is from RNAcentral.